UACGAGGGGUGCAAGCGUUAUUCGGAUUUACUGGGCGUAAAGGGUGUGCAGACGGCCUUUCAAGUCAGUUGUUAAAUCUCCCAGCCUAACUGGGAAUCGGCAAUUGAAACUGAUCGGCUUGAGGAUGGAAGAGAGAAGUGGAAUUCUCGGAGUAGCGGUAAAAUGCGUAGAUCUCGAGGGGAACACCGAUGGCGAAGGCAGCUUCUUGGUCCAUUCCUGACGUUGAGACACGAAAGCGUGGGUAGCGAACAGG
Molecule: ribosomal RNA, 253 nt
Filed under: uncultured bacterium
Lineage: Bacteria
Description: partial 16S ribosomal RNA
Rfam family: Bacterial small subunit ribosomal RNA
Source: RNAcentral